Molecule: ribosomal RNA, 483 nt
Filed under: uncultured bacterium
Lineage: Bacteria
Description: bacterial SSU rRNA
Rfam family: Bacterial small subunit ribosomal RNA
Source: RNAcentral
GACGAACGCUGGCGGCGUGCUUAACACAUGCAAGUCGAACGGUAAGGCCCCUUCGGGGGUACACGAGUGGCGAACGGGUGAGUAACACGUGAGUAACCUGCCCUUGACUCUGGGAUAACAUUUGGAAACAGAUGCUAAUACCGGAUAUCAACUCUUGAGGCAUCUCGAGAGUUUGAAAGCUCCGGCGGUCAUGGAUGGACUCGCGGCCUAUCAGCUUGUUGGUGAGGUAACGGCUCACCAAGGCUAUGACGGGUAGUCGGCCUGAGAGGGCGACCGGCCACAUUGGGACUGAGAUACGGCCCAAACUCCUACGGGAGGCAGCAGUGGGGAAUAUUGCACAAUGGGCGCAAGCCUGAUGCAGCAACGCCGCGUGCGGGAAGACGGCCUUCGGGUUGUAAACCGCUUUCAGCAGGGACGAAGCGAAAGUGACGGUACCUGCAAAAGAAGCACCGGCUAACUACGUGCCAGCAGCCGCGAAUAAAC